AGUGAACGCUGGCGGUAGGCCUAACACAUCCAAGUCGAACGGCAGCACAGAGGAGCUUGCUCCUUGGGUGGCGAGUGGCGGACGGGUGAGGAAUACAUCGGAAUCUACUCUGUCGUGGGGGAUAACGUAGGGAAACUUACGCUAAUACCGCAUACGACCUACGGGUGAAAGCAGGGGAUCUUCGGACCUUGCGCGAUUGAAUGAGCCGAUGUCGGAUUAGCUAGUUGGCGGGGUAAAGGCCCACCAAGGCGACGAUCCGUAGCUGGUCUGAGAGGAUGGUCAGCCACACUGGAACUGAGACACGGUCCAGACUCCUACGGGAGGCAGCAGUGGGGAAUAUUGGACAAUGGGCGCAAGCCUGAUCCAGCCAUACCGCGUGGGUGAAGAGGGCCUUCGGGUUGUAAAGCCCUUUUGUUGGGAAAGAAAUCCAUCUGGUUAAUACCCGGGUGGGAUGACGGUACCCAAAGAAUAAGCACCGGCUAACUUCGUGCCAGCAGCCGCCGUAA
This 506-nucleotide ribosomal RNA is filed under the name uncultured bacterium. Its description in RNAcentral is "partial 16S ribosomal RNA". It matches the Rfam family "Bacterial small subunit ribosomal RNA", at positions 29 to 523 of the family's 1533-position model. The record is from RNAcentral.